AAUUAAUUUUGGGUGUAGAAGUUCAAAGUUUUAGUCUGUUCGACUAUUAAAAUUUUACAUGAUCUGAGUUCAAACCGGUGUAAGCCAGGUUGGUUUCUAUCUUUAAUUAAUUAAUAUAUUUUAGUACGAAAGGACCAAAUAUUUAAUAUGUAAUAUUUUUAAAUUUGAAUGAAAUU
Molecule: ribosomal RNA, 176 nt
Filed under: Allodessus bistrigatus
Lineage: Eukaryota; Metazoa; Arthropoda; Insecta; Coleoptera; Dytiscidae
Description: partial 16S ribosomal RNA
Rfam family: Bacterial large subunit ribosomal RNA (bases 1-102)
Source: RNAcentral